CCGGAAAUGGGCCCUCGCGUGUGCUCGUAGAUUAGAGUUUGAUCCUGGCUCAGAUUGAACGCUGGCGGCAGGCCUAACACAUGCAAGUCGAACGGCAGCGCGGAGAGCUUGCUCUCUGGCGGCGAGUGGCGGACGGGUGAGUAAUGCAUAGGAAUCUGCCCAGUAGUGGGGGACAACCUGGUGAAAACCAGGCUAAUACCGCAUACGACCUACGGGUGAAAGCAGGGGACCUUCGGGCCUUGUGCUAUUGGAUGAGCCUAUGUCUGAUUAGCUAGUUGGUAGGGUAAAGGCCUACCAAGGCGACGAUCAGUAGCUGGUCUGAGAGGAUGAUCAGCCACACUGGGACUGAGACACGGCCCAGACUCCUACGGGAGGCAGCAGUGGGGAAUAUUGGACAAUGGGGGCAACCCUGAUCCAGCAAUGCAGCGUGUGUGAAGAAGGCCUGCGGGUUGUAAAGCACUUUCAAUUGGGAGGAAAAGCUAAAGGUUAAUACCCUUUAGUCUUGACGUUACCAUUAGAAGAAGCACCGGCUAACUCCGUGCCAGCAGCCGCGGUAA
RNAcentral lists this ribosomal RNA (557 nucleotides) under uncultured Marinobacter sp. Its description in RNAcentral is "bacterial SSU rRNA". It matches the Rfam family "Bacterial small subunit ribosomal RNA", at positions 1 to 523 of the family's 1533-position model. Lineage: Bacteria; Pseudomonadati; Pseudomonadota; Gammaproteobacteria; Pseudomonadales; Marinobacteraceae. The record is from RNAcentral.